GAGCUCAGUGGCAGAGCAUCUUCUUUGCAUGCAGAAGGUCCCUGGUUCAAUACCCGAGCAUCUCCA
Non-coding RNA from Podarcis lilfordi (Lilford's wall lizard), 66 nucleotides. The record is from the annotation of a GenBank genome assembly. Lineage: Eukaryota; Metazoa; Chordata; Lepidosauria; Squamata; Lacertidae.